CUCCAAUGUCCAUGACCAUUUCUGCAAUUAAAGGUGAAAUCUGUUUGUAAAGUGCUUCUGCUAAAAAUACUGCACACACACACAGAUAUUUACACGUGUAUAACGGGGGCUAGUUACACUGCUGGCACACAUUAAUUUGUCAGUCUGGAACAAAAAUAACAUCUGCACACUAGCGACAGUACAGUACGCAGGCACACUGCACUCUGGAGACAGAUCUUCUAUAAUUCUCCCCUUGCAGGCAGUGUUUGCAAGAGGAAUGU
Molecule: non-coding RNA, 260 nt
Organism: Pelobates cultripes (western spadefoot toad)
Lineage: Eukaryota; Metazoa; Chordata; Amphibia; Anura; Pelobatidae
Source: the annotation of a GenBank genome assembly